GGAUGUGAGGCCGAUCUGGCUGCGACAUCUGUCACCCCAUUGAUUGCCAGGGUUGAUUUGGCUGAUCUGGCUGGCUAGCAGCUUCGGUUGAAGAGGACGACCUUCCCCUCUCCCCUACACUCCCUCCCCCGCCCCAGGAGAAGACCGGUCUUCAGUCAAGGGUAUAGGAGUAGCUGCGCUCCCCUACUAGAACCUCCAAACAAGUUCUCAAGAAUGCUGAGACAAUGAGGCGGCUCCACUAAUGAUCACUAACAG
Molecule: small nuclear RNA, 255 nt
Filed under: Myotis davidii
Lineage: Eukaryota; Metazoa; Chordata; Mammalia; Chiroptera; Vespertilionidae
Description: 7SK RNA
Rfam family: 7SK RNA
About the family: 7SK was discovered as an abundant small nuclear RNA in the mid-70s but a possible function has only recently been suggested. Two independent studies have found that 7SK RNA binds the CDK9/cyclin T complex (known as elongation factor P-TEFb).
Source: Rfam by way of RNAcentral